UACAGAGGUCUCAAGCGUUGUUCGGAUUCAUUGGGCGUAAAGGGUGCGUAGGCGGUGCGGUAAGUCGGGUGUGAAAUCUUGGAGCUUAACUCCGAAACUGCAUUCGAUACUGCCGUGCUUGAGGACUGGAGAGGAGACUGGAAUUUACGGUGUAGCGGUGAAAUGCGUAGAUAUCGUAAGGAAGACCAGUGGCGAAGGCGGGUCUCUGGACAGUUCCUGACGCUGAGGCACGAAGGCCAGGGGAGCAAACGAG
This 253-nucleotide ribosomal RNA is filed under the name uncultured bacterium. RNAcentral's name for it is "partial 16S ribosomal RNA". It matches the Rfam family "Bacterial small subunit ribosomal RNA", at positions 524 to 776 of the family's 1533-position model. The record is from RNAcentral.